UUUUUUCUUUUCUUUUUUUUUUUCUUGAACAUAAAUGAUUUUUUUUCCUCUUGCACAUUGAUCUUCUUUUCCCCUUUGAAGAUCUCAUUUUUCUUUUUACUGUCAUAAUUAGUACUACCCAAAUGAUGGGUUUAUUUCAUCUCUAGUGGCUCAUGUCUAAAAUGUUGUCUUUGGUACAUAUCUCAAAUUGUCAUGCAGUUGUAUCUGGGGGGAAUUCUUACAGCAGUAUAUUUUCUUUUGUUUUAUUCUGUACAGAG
RNAcentral lists this unclassified non-coding RNA (257 nucleotides) under Hevea brasiliensis (rubber tree). The record is from RNAcentral. Lineage: Eukaryota; Viridiplantae; Streptophyta; Magnoliopsida; Malpighiales; Euphorbiaceae.